Molecule: ribosomal RNA, 793 nt
Filed under: uncultured Bathyarchaeota archaeon
Lineage: Archaea; Thermoproteati; Candidatus Bathyarchaeota
Description: bacterial SSU rRNA
Rfam family: Archaeal small subunit ribosomal RNA
Source: RNAcentral
UGGGGCUAAUUUCCGAUAGGUGAAGAACCCUGGAAUGAGUCUUCGCCCAAAAGGCGCUUAGAGCAUGCUUCUAGGUGUUGCCCAAGGAUGGGGCCGCGGCCGAUCAGGUUGUUGGUGAGGUAAUGGCUCACCAAGCCUUUAACCGGUACGGGCCGUGGGAGCGGUAGCCCGGAGAUGGGCACUGAGACAAGGGCCCAGGCCCUACGGGGCGCAGCAGUCGCGAAAACUUCGCAAUAAGCGAAAGCUUGACGGGGCCAUCCCGAGUGCCAUCUGCUGAGGAUGGCUUUUACCCAGUGUAGAUAGCUGGGGGAAUAAGGAGAGGGCAAGUCUGGUGUCAGCCGCCGCGGUAAUACCAGCUCUCCGAGUUGUGGGGAUGUUUAUUGGGCCUAAAGCAUCCGUAGCCGGCUGGGCAAGUCCUCUGUUAAAUCCAGCGAUUAAUCGUUGGCCUGCGGGGGAUACUGUCUGGCUAGGGGGCGGGAGAGGCCGUCGGUAUUCUCGGGGUAGGGGUGAAAUCCUAUAAUCCCGGGAGGACCACCAGUGGCGAAGGCUGUCGGCUAGAACGCGCCCGACGGUGAGGGAUGAAAGCUGGGGGAGCGAACCGGAUUAGAUACCCGGGUAGUCCCAGCUGUAAACGAUGCAGGCUAGGUGUUAGGGCGGCUACGUGCCGCUCUAGUGCCGCAGGGAAGCUGUUAAGCCUGCCGCCUGGGGAGUACGGCCGCAAGGCUGAAACUUAAAGGAAUUGGCGGGGGAGCACCACAAGGGGUGAAGCUUGCGGUUUAAUUGGAUUCAACGC